CUAAUGCUCUAGAGUCCCCCUGGGCUGGCCUCAGGAUUGCAAGCAGUGCGAGGGCCUGGUCUCGGCCCUGGUCUCAGCCCUAUCCAGAUGUCCAAGGCAGGUGGACCACCCGCUGAGCAUCAGAAAUGGGUGCCAGAAUGGACUUGGUCUUUGAGAAGAGGCCCAAGGUUCCCUGAGUAAUGGUAGGAGCACCUGGGGGAGCCCCAUGCAUCUUGGGGAUCAGGCCCCAGUUCCGACCCCAGUUCCAUGCCAAUCUCCACUCCCCACCAGCACCACCCAAGUCCUGGGAGACCACGUGAUCCCAUGUCCCUGAGGGGGUAAGCAGUCACACCAGGGAUGGAGCGAGCCUUCCUGUCCCAGGAGACCCUGCCUUGGGAACCCCCAUCCAGCGGCCCUGGGUUCCAGUCCCACCAUGUGCCUGUUGCCUCCAGGGACUCCAGAUUUUCCUGUUUGCUCUUGGCCUUCUGCCCACCCACCCCACUGCCAUGGGCCCAAAGCAGCCGGGUUCCCUGGAGAUCCUGUCUUCCACCUAGUGCAGGGCAUGAGGCCGGGGCCAGGACAGCCGGACCAGGCCCUGGGGCUUCUGAGAGCCGACUCACCUUGCAGGGAGUCCCACCACCACCUUCUGGGGCCCCACACAGUCCCAUGCUGGAACACAUCCCUGUGUGUAAUUUUUUUUAUUUCAUGCAGCAUUAAUUUAAAAAAUAAAGAUAGCAUGUCACUUGCAAA
RNAcentral lists this small RNA (729 nucleotides) under Pan troglodytes (chimpanzee). RNAcentral describes it as "processed transcript". Lineage: Eukaryota; Metazoa; Chordata; Mammalia; Primates; Hominidae. The record is from RNAcentral.